AUGAGGCGUGCAUCUGGCGGCCGGCCUGUACCUUGCGCGCACAGCCGCGUCUCCGCUCGGCUCGGCUGAUCUCGAUGCAUUACGCGCGGCUCGUGCUCGCUCCUCUCGGCUCGGCCUAACUAGGGCCGCUUCGCUCAGAGCGCUAGGCUCCCCAAAACAGUUCCUCUCCGCCGUUCCCCACCGCCUGUUUCGUGAUCCCGCCGCCGCCUCUCUCGUCCGGAGGACCGGAGCCCGUUCGGUGCCGUUGCCUUCCUCCACGCGCGGGACGGUGCUACCUACCUGCCCGCCGGCCGCUUCUCUCCGUCGAACCGCACCACCGCUUUACGAACGCCUCCAGCCGGAUAGCCCACGGCCGAUGCCAUCUUCCUCCUCGUGCAGGAGGCCGCUGCUGUCAUUCCUCGUGAAGGUGGCUGCUUGACAUCCCCAGGUGAGAUAUGUGGGGUGCAGCAUUGCUGGUGAUUCAAGAUUAGAAAGACUAAAAUGAACAAGAGGCCGCUUAAGAAAUACCAUAGAACAACCAAAGACAGAACAAUAGAGUGAAGACAUGCUGCUUUCUGAAGGAAUUUAUUCUGGGAGCUGAUGUGUGUGGAAGUAGUUAGUUUUGCCUGAUGUAUGUAGUCUUUCUUUGUAAUAUGUACUAUGUAUAGCCUGUACAUGGUUAAGAGUUUGCAAGGAUUGUAGUCCAGAUGCUAUAAAUUUGAAACCCAUUUUUUUGGUUCAAAUUGCAAAUAUCUGUACAAUGCAGUUUUUUUUUUAUCUGAAAUAAGUAUGACGUGUUGGAUGCUAUGAAA
Molecule: long non-coding RNA, 791 nt
Organism: Oryza sativa Japonica Group (Japanese rice)
Lineage: Eukaryota; Viridiplantae; Streptophyta; Magnoliopsida; Poales; Poaceae
Source: RefSeq, a predicted model, not a curated record